This 251-nucleotide ribosomal RNA is filed under the name uncultured bacterium. Its description in RNAcentral is "partial 16S ribosomal RNA". It matches the Rfam family "Bacterial small subunit ribosomal RNA", at positions 525 to 775 of the family's 1533-position model. The record is from RNAcentral.
ACGUAGGGGGCAAGCGUUAUCCGGAUUUACUGGGUGUAAAGGGAGCGUAGACGGCUGUGCAAGCCUGAAGUGAAAGGCAUGGGCUCAACCUGUGGACUGCUUUGGAAACUGUGCAGCUAGAGUGUCGGAGAGGUAAGUGGAAUUCCUAGUGUAGCGGUGAAAUGCGUAGAUAUUAGGAGGAACACCAGUGGCGAAGGCGGCUUACUGGACGAUGACUGACGUUGAGGCUCGAAAGCGUGGGGAGCAAACAG